RNAcentral lists this ribosomal RNA (440 nucleotides) under uncultured bacterium. RNAcentral describes it as "partial 16S ribosomal RNA". It matches the Rfam family "Bacterial small subunit ribosomal RNA", at positions 338 to 795 of the family's 1533-position model. The record is from RNAcentral.
CCUACGGGUGGCAGCAGUGGGGAAUAUUGUACAAUGGGGGAAACCCUGAUGCAGCGACGCCGCGUGAGUGAAGAAGUACUUCGUUAUGUAAAGCUCUAUCAGCAGGGAAGAAAAUGACGGUACCUGAGUCAGAAGCCCCGGCUAAAUACGUGCCAGCAGCCGCGGUAAUACGUAGGGGGCAAGCGUUAUCCGGAUUUACUGGGGGUAAAGGGAGCGUAGACGGCAGUGCAAGUCUGGAGUGAAAGGCGGGGGCUCAACCCCCGGACUGCUCUGGAAACUGUACGGCUUGAGUGCAGGAGAGGUAAGUGGAAUUCCUAGUGUAGCGGUGAAAUGCGUAGAUAUUAGGAGGAACACCAGUGGCGAAGGCGGCUUACUGGACUGUAACUGACGUUGAGGCUCGAAAGCGUGGGGAGCGAACAGGAUUAGAUACCCGAGUAGUC